AACUAGCUCUACUAUC
RNAcentral lists this unclassified non-coding RNA (16 nucleotides) under Saccharomyces cerevisiae (brewer's yeast). RNAcentral's name for it is "RNA (5'-R(P*AP*AP*CP*UP*AP*GP*UP*UP*AP*AP*GP*AP*GP*GP*UP*U)-3') from Saccharomyces cerevisiae (PDB 7MKA, chain r)". Lineage: Eukaryota; Fungi; Ascomycota; Saccharomycetes; Saccharomycetales; Saccharomycetaceae. The record is from RNAcentral.